GCCAACACUGGGACUGAGACACUGCCCAGACUCCUACGGGAGGCUGCAGUCGAGAAUCUUUCGCAAUGGGCGCAAGUCCUGACGAAGCGACGCCCGGAUGUGAACGAUAGAAGGCCUUCGGGUUGUAAAGUUCUUUCGCCAUGUGGGAACAAG
Molecule: ribosomal RNA, 153 nt
Filed under: uncultured Chlamydiales bacterium
Lineage: Bacteria; Pseudomonadati; Chlamydiota; Chlamydiia; Chlamydiales
Description: partial 16S ribosomal RNA
Rfam family: Bacterial small subunit ribosomal RNA
Source: RNAcentral